AUUUUGGACAAUGGGGAAACCCUGAUCCAGCCAUCCCGCGUGUAUGAUUAAGGGCGUCGGUUUGUAAAGUACUUUUGGCAGAGAAGAAAAGGUAUCUCCUAAUACGAGAUAAUGCUGACGGUAUCUGCCGAAUAAGCACCGGCUGACUACGUUCCACAAGCCGCGGUAAUACUUAGGGUUCAAGCGUUAAUAGGAAUUACGGGGCGUAAAGCGUGUGUAGGCGGUUCGGAAAGAAAGAUGUGAAAUCCCAGGGCUCAACCUUGGAACUGCAUUUGUAACUGCCGAGCUAGAGUAUGUCAGAGGGGGGAAGAAUUCCACGUGUAGCAGUGAAAUGCGUAGAUAUGUGGAGGAAUACCGAUGGCGAAGGCAGCCCCCUGGGAUAAUACUGACGCUCAGACACGAAAGCGUGGGGAGCAAACA
Molecule: ribosomal RNA, 420 nt
Filed under: uncultured bacterium
Lineage: Bacteria
Description: partial 16S ribosomal RNA
Rfam family: Bacterial small subunit ribosomal RNA
Source: RNAcentral